RNAcentral lists this ribosomal RNA (497 nucleotides) under uncultured bacterium. Its description in RNAcentral is "partial 16S ribosomal RNA". It matches the Rfam family "Bacterial small subunit ribosomal RNA", at positions 28 to 507 of the family's 1533-position model. The record is from RNAcentral.
GAUGAACGCUGGCGGCGUGCCUAAUACAUGCAAGUCGAGCGAACGGACGAGAAGCUUGCUUCUCUGAUGUUAGCGGCGGACGGGUGAGUAACACGUGGAUAACCUACCUAUAAGACUUGGAUAACUUCGGGAAACCGUAGCUAAUACCGGAUAAUAUUUUGAACCGCAUGGUUCAAAAGUGAAAGACGGUCUUGCUGUCACUUAUAGAUGGAUCCGCGCUGCAUUAGCUAGUUGGUAAGGUAACGGCUUACCAAGGCAACGAUGCAUAGCCGACCUGAGAGGGUGAUGGGCCACACUGGAACUGAGACACGGUCCAGACUCCUACGGGAGGCAGCAGUAGGGAAUCUUCCGAAAUGGGCGAAAGCCUGACGGAGCAACGCCGCGUGAGUGAUGAAGGUCUUCGGAUCGUAAAACUCUGUUAUUAGGGAAGAACAUAUGUGUAAGUAACUGUGCACAUCUUGACGGUACCUAAUCAGAAAGCCACGGCUAACUACGUG